CCUGCACUUGUUGGGGAAUGGGCUAGCCUUAAAAGUAUCAGCUGACCUUGAUAAUCUACUCGGCGUAUUAAUGAUACAUGAACCGCAGAGGACAUUACAAUCUUAGGUCGCUUUCUAAUCUGGUAUUGGUGGUUCUUAGGAAUUCAUCAUCCAUCUUCAGAUUUGACCUCGAAUCAGGUGGGACUACCCGCUGAACUUAA
This 200-nucleotide unclassified non-coding RNA is filed under the name soil metagenome. RNAcentral describes it as "partial contains internal transcribed spacer 2 and large subunit ribosomal RNA". The record is from RNAcentral.